Molecule: ribosomal RNA, 466 nt
Filed under: uncultured bacterium
Lineage: Bacteria
Description: partial 16S ribosomal RNA
Rfam family: Bacterial small subunit ribosomal RNA
Source: RNAcentral
ACGAACGCUGGCGGCGUGCUUCACCCAUGCCAGUCGAACGGAAAGGCCCUGCUUUUGUGGGGUGCUCGAGUGGCGAACGGGUGAGUAACACGUGAGUAACCUGCCCUUGACUUUGGGAUAACUUCAGGAAACUGGGGCUAAUACCGGAUAGGAGCUCCUGCUGCAUGGUGGGGGUUGGAAAGUUUCGGCGGUUGGGGAUGGACUCGCGGCUUAUCAGCUUGUUGGUGGGGUAGUGGCUUACCAAGGCUUUGACGGGUAGCCGGCCUGAGAGGGUGACCGGCCACAUGGGGACUGAGAUACGGCCCAGACUCCUACGGGAGGCAGCAGUGGGGAAUAUUGCACAAUGGGCGGAAGCCUGAUGCAGCAACGCCGCGUGCGGGAGGACGGCCUUCGGGUUGUAAACCGCUUUCGCCUGUGACGAAGCGUGAGUGACGGUAAUGGGUAAAGAAGCACCGGCUAACUACGU